UACGUAGGGUGCAAGCGUUGUCCGGAAUUAUUGGGCGUAAAGAGCUCGUAGGCGGUUUGUUGCGUCGGCUGUGAAAACCUGAGGCUCAACCUCAGGCCUGCAGUCGAUACGAGCAGACUAGAGUGUUGCAGGGGAGACUGGAAUUCCUGGUGUAGCGGUGAAAUGCGCAGAUAUCAGGAGGAACACCGGUGGCGAAGGCGGGUCUCUGGGCAACAACUGACGCUGAGGAGCGAAAACGUGGGGAGCGAACAGG
Molecule: ribosomal RNA, 253 nt
Filed under: uncultured bacterium
Lineage: Bacteria
Description: partial 16S ribosomal RNA
Rfam family: Bacterial small subunit ribosomal RNA
Source: RNAcentral